Molecule: long non-coding RNA, 611 nt
Filed under: Struthio camelus australis
Lineage: Eukaryota; Metazoa; Chordata; Aves; Struthioniformes; Struthionidae
Description: lncRNA (ENSSCUG00000010804.1)
Source: RNAcentral
AUGUGUUUCCAGAGGCUCCUUUCUUCACUCACCUGUCCCUGGGACCCUCUUUCCAUCUUCCUCUGUGACUUAAGUGUGAAGGCUGCACUCCCCUACUUGAAACCAGCUGUCUGUAUGAUUGUGAAGCUUUCCUGAGCAAGUUCCCCUUCCAGGUCCAGAUAGUAUGCAAUCCCCUGUAAACUAUAGAUAUUGCAAGUCCUAAAACAAAUUACCGUGUUAACGGAACAUGAGUACCAACGGCAAAAUAUUUUUCCAGCAAGCAGCAGUGCUCUUGCUAGGAUGCAUGCAGUAUGAGGACAUUCAGACAGUCUGUCCUCAGCUUGGCCUUCGCAGUACGGUUCCAGCUCUGACUCAAGAAGCAGCAGGAUCUAUGAGCUCUGACUGAGCAAGGAAGCAUUGCCCUGCAGCUGGCGUUUUGCACGCUGCAUGUUCAAGGAAGGUAAAGAAAUGUCUUUUUCAAAGCCUGGUAAAUGUCUCGGAACCUAUCAGUCAUACUCUCUUUAAUGUGGAGGAACAGGAUGUGACAGUUGGUGUACUGGUGAGACCAGAUAUAUCAGCACUCAGGCCUGGGUGUAGUAUAUGAGUCCUCUGCACAGAGGAAGACAAUACAC